This 820-nucleotide ribosomal RNA is filed under the name uncultured marine bacterium. RNAcentral describes it as "bacterial SSU rRNA". It matches the Rfam family "Bacterial small subunit ribosomal RNA", at positions 56 to 927 of the family's 1533-position model. The record is from RNAcentral.
UGCAGUCGAGCGCGCCUUUGGGUGAGCGGCGGACGGGUUAGUAACGCGUGGGACCGUUCCCUUCUCUACGGAAUAGCCUCUGGAAACGGAGAGUAAUACCGUAUACGCCCUUUGGGGGAAAGAUUUAUCGGAGAAGGAUCGGCCCGCGUUAGAUUAGGUAGUUGGUGGGGUAACGGCCUACCAAGCCUACGAUCUAUAGCUGGUUUUAGAGGAUGAUCAGCAACACUGGGACUGAGACACGGCCCAGACUCCUACGGGAGGCAGCAGUGGGGAAUCUUAGACAAUGGGGGCAACCCUGAUCUAGCCAUGCCGCGUGAGUGAUGAAGGCCUUAGGGUCGUAAAGCUCUUUCGCCUGUGAUGAUAAUGACAGUAGCAGGUAAAGAAACCCCGGCUAACUCCGUGCCAGCAGCCGCGGUAAUACGGAGGGGGUUAGCGUUGUUCGGAAUUACUGGGCGUAAAGCGCGCGUAGGCGGAUUAGAAAGUUGGGGGUGAAAUCCCGGGGCUCAACCCCGGAACUGCCUCCAAAACUGCUAGUCUAGAGUUCGAGAGAGGUGAGUGGAAUUCCGAGUGUAGAGGUGAAAUUCGUAGAUAUUCGGAGGAACACCAGUGGCGAAGGCGGCUCACUGGCUCGAUACUGACGCUGAGGUGCGAAAGUGUGGGGAGCAAACAGGAUUAGAUACCCCGGUAGUCCACACCGUANACGAUGAAUGCCAGUCGUCGGAUAGUAUACUAUUCGGUGACACACCUAACGGAUUAAGCAUUCCGCCUGGGGAGUACGGUCGCAAGAUUAAAACUCAAAGAAUUGACGGGGGCCCGCACA